UGGUCUUCAAUAUCUUCAUCCUUGAAUUCAGUUUUGCUGACUUGAUUUUCUACACGCCCCCUCAAUCUGGAGGGUUGUUCUCGGAUAUGCAGAUUGUGUAGUACAUGCUUGAACUUUAAUGGAGGUAAUGGCUUUGUAAGCGCAUCUGCUAACUGAUCUCGGCUUGAAAUAAAUUGAACCGUCAAUUGUUUAUUGAAAACUUGAUCUCAUACGGAGUGAAAAUCAAUUUCUAUGUGCUUCAUUCUUGCAUGAAAAGUCGAAUUUGAUGUGAGGUAAGUGGCUCCAAUAUUAUCACACCAAAGAACCAGUGGCUGUGUUCGAGGAAGAUCAAGUUCAAAGAGAAGAGAUUUUAUCCAAGUGAGCUCGACUACUGUGUUUGCUAGUGUCUUGUAUUCAGCCUCAGUACUGCUUCUAGCAACUGUAGGCUGUUGUUUACAACUCCGAGAGAUUAAAUUGGGGCCAAUAUAGACACAGAAAGCACCAACCGAGCGUCGGUCAUCUCUAUCAGCAGCCCAUCAGAAUCUAAUUAAGCUUGCAACCUCAUAUCAGCACCUUUAUUGAUGUAGAGACCAGUGGAUAUCGAGUGUUUAAGGUAGCGCAAUAUGCGCUUAACUGCCAUCCAAUGUGUAUUAAGAGGUCGAGGCAUAAAUUUACUGACUUUAUGUACUGCAAAGGCUAAAUCAAGCCUUGUGAACGAUAGGUAUUGCAUCCUACCUACGAUGCUUCGAUAGAGACUUAUAUCUUCAAAAGGAUGUCCAUCGGUGAAAAUCAUAUGACAAUUAGAGGCCAUUGGACUUGUGCAGGGCUUUGCUUUGUCCAUGUUGCUCCUUUUCAGCAAAUCAACAAUAUACUUGCGUUGAGUGAGACAAAUUCCAUCUAAACGUCGAAGUGCCUCGACACUAAGAAAGAAAUUUAGUGCACCCAAGUCUUUGACAGCAAAAGUACUUUUCAAGUAGUUAAUCACAUGAAUGAUUGCAUUUGAAUUUGACCUUGUUAUCAAAAAAUAUCAUCCACAUAUAUGAGUAUGUAAGUAAUAGUAACUGAUUUUCG
Molecule: long non-coding RNA, 1050 nt
Filed under: Olea europaea subsp. europaea
Lineage: Eukaryota; Viridiplantae; Streptophyta; Magnoliopsida; Lamiales; Oleaceae
Source: RNAcentral